Molecule: long non-coding RNA, 561 nt
Filed under: Pogona vitticeps (central bearded dragon)
Lineage: Eukaryota; Metazoa; Chordata; Lepidosauria; Squamata; Agamidae
Description: lncRNA (ENSPVIG00000009946.1)
Source: RNAcentral
AUGUGGUUGCAUCACGUGAAAGGGGAGUCGGGCCCAGCGGCGGCGGCGGCAGCAACAGCACGCCCGAGCGAGACAGAGACCCAGACAGAUUCUGGACGCUGGGCUCGUCGGGAGGAGCGACGGCGGACCGACCGGGCUGGCGGGGCGGAAGCCGCACAGGACGAGGCCACCGCUCCGGAGCUCCCUGGAGAGUCACAGCAGGUAAAGCCUAAGCACUUCUUUGCAUCAGCUUAUACGGAGAGCGCCUUGAUGCUGACAAGAUAGGAGCAGGCGCACACAAUUAGCUGUGCAUCUCUUCAAUUCCGGCUUCAUCUAAGUCUGAGAGCUCUUUAGUUGGAAGAACCUGUUCCAGGUAUAUAUAGAGCACCAGAAUCCAGUGCACUGAUGCCGUAUAGUAAUAGGAAUGGAAGUUGAAAGCAAAACACUGCAAUCCAUGGAAGUAGAACAUAUAGUGAAGGAAGCAGUUGUAAUUGCUUGAGCAAUCAUGGAAAAAUUACCCAGUAGCCUUCUGUUAUCUGACUGUUGAUGAAUAAAUAUACUGACUGACAUGUUCUGAAGUCA